AUGUAGUAAUCGAACUAGGAGUUAAAUAAAACAACCAAUCUUUAGCUGAAUCAUCCAAGGAAAAAGGGAACUGUGACAUCCCAAAUACAUAAUUGGUAAAAAAGAGCCAGAGAACAGAAAUAGAUACAAGUGCUAAUAACUAGAUUAAACAUAUAACCAGAAAAUAGGAAUCCCUUAGACAAAAAAAAGUUCACAUUACACUUGAGACUAAUGGUUGACUACCAAAAUAUG
Molecule: long non-coding RNA, 231 nt
Filed under: Carica papaya (papaya)
Lineage: Eukaryota; Viridiplantae; Streptophyta; Magnoliopsida; Brassicales; Caricaceae
Description: long non-coding RNA (CPAP_LNC013115)
Source: RNAcentral